AGGGGACCUUCGGGCCUUUCGCUAACAGAUGAGCCUGCGUUGGAUUAGCUAGUUGGUGGGGUAAGGGCCUACCAAGGCGACGAUCUAUAGCUGGUCUGAGAGGACGAUCAGCCACACUGGGACUGAGACACGGCCCAGACUCCUACGGGAGGCAGCAGUGGGGAAUAUUGGACAAUGGGCGCAAGCCUGAUCCAGCAAUACCGCGUGUGUGAAGAAGGCCUUAGGGUUGUAAAGCACUUUCAAUUGGAAGGGAAAAACUCAUGGCCAAUACCCAUGAGCUUGACAUUACCUUUAGAAGAAGCACCGGCUAACUCCGUGCCAGCAGCCGCGGUAAUACGGAGGGUGCGAGCGUUAAUCGGAAUUACUGGGCGUAAAGCGUGCGUAGGCGGCCCGUUAAGUCAGAUGUGAAAGCCCCGGGCUCAACCUGGGAACUGCAUUUGAAACUGGCGGACUAGAGUUUAGUAGAGGGGAGUGGAAUUUCAGGUGUAGCGGUGAAAUGCGUAGAUAUCUGAAGGAACACCAGUGGCGAA
This 530-nucleotide ribosomal RNA is filed under the name uncultured bacterium. RNAcentral describes it as "bacterial SSU rRNA". It matches the Rfam family "Bacterial small subunit ribosomal RNA", at positions 202 to 719 of the family's 1533-position model. The record is from RNAcentral.